This 254-nucleotide ribosomal RNA is filed under the name uncultured bacterium. Its description in RNAcentral is "partial 16S ribosomal RNA". It matches the Rfam family "Bacterial small subunit ribosomal RNA", at positions 524 to 776 of the family's 1533-position model. The record is from RNAcentral.
CACGUAGGGGGCAAGCGUUGUCCGGAUUUAUUGGGCGUAAAGAGCUCGUAGGCGGUUUCGUAAGUCGGAUGUGAAAACUCCAGGCUCAACUUGGAGACGCCAUUCGAUACUGCGAUGACUUGAGUCCGGUAGGGGAGUGUGGAAUUCCUGGUGUAGCGGUGAAAUGCGCAGAUAUCAGGAAGAACACCCGUGGCGAAGGCGGCUCUCUGGGACGGUACUGACGCUGAGACGCGAAAGCGUGGGGAGCGAACAGG